Molecule: long non-coding RNA, 460 nt
Filed under: Homo sapiens (human)
Lineage: Eukaryota; Metazoa; Chordata; Mammalia; Primates; Hominidae
Description: non-protein coding lnc-LINC00854-1:32
Source: RNAcentral
UGGCGAAAUUGUGGACAUCACAGGAGCAACCACAGCCAUCACAGCAGCAGCCAUCAGUGCAGCCACCAUCACAGCCACCACCACAGCCAUCAACAUUGCCACAGGCACAGGUGUGGCCAGGGCCACAGCCACCACAACCACAGCCACCACCUCAGCCAACACAACCAAGUGCUCAAGCCCGUUGUACUCAGCACACCUCCAAAUGCAAUCUCCAGGAUUCCCAAAGGCCAGGUCUCAUGAACCCAUGCCAAUCUAGCCCCAUCAGAAACACUGGGUAUUCACAACUCAAGUCUACCAAUUACAUACAGCAGUGGUGAUCCAGAGAUUGAACCCAGGACCCCAUGGCCAUCCCCAAAAUGCAGAUGAGCAACCACAUCUUCUCAGCAUCCAGCAAUAUCUCCACUCCAAAAGCCACCCACUCUAGAAGAGGAGGCUGCCAGGAAUAAAAUGUAAUUUUUUU